This 231-nucleotide ribosomal RNA is filed under the name Salmonella enterica subsp. enterica serovar Infantis. Its description in RNAcentral is "partial 23S ribosomal RNA". It matches the Rfam family "Bacterial large subunit ribosomal RNA", at positions 1442 to 1675 of the family's 2925-position model. The record is from RNAcentral. Lineage: Bacteria; Pseudomonadati; Pseudomonadota; Gammaproteobacteria; Enterobacterales; Enterobacteriaceae.
UACUUGGUGUUACUGCGAAGGGGGGACGGAGAAGGCUAUGUUGGCCGGGCGACGGUUGUCCCGGUUUAAGCGUGUAGGCUGGUUUUCCAGGCAAAUCCGGAAAAUCAAGGCUGAGGCGUGACGACGAGGCACUACGGUGCUGAAGCAACAAAUGCCCUGCUUCCAGGAAAAGCCUCUAAGCAUCAGGUAACAUCAAAUCGUACCCCAAACCGACACAGGUGGUCAGGUAGA